CGGUGUUAGGCCUUGGGGACAUCGCUCGGGGACAGGAGAGCCCCGGGCCCCCGCCGCCCCGAGCCGUGGCCGGGAAGGGGAACACAGUCCAUGCGUGCGGCGCCCGACAGCCUCUCCCCGCACGCCCGAGCCCCAGUGCAGGCGGCGGCCCGGCCCCUUUGUGCCUGGAGUGUCACGCGCGGGCGCUCCUGCCGCCGCGCCUGGGAGAGGCCUCCGGCACCCCGGGCCCCUUUCCAAGCACAACAGCAGCCCUGCCGCGGCCCCGCGCUGACCCACUUUCCCUCCUGCCUCCUCAGCCCGAGGCCGAGAAUCCAGCGGCCGCCGCCAAGCAGCCCUUCCUGCCAGACCUCUGCCUCCGAUGGGCGAGCCCGGUUGCUGGGAGGCGGUUCGCUGUGGAGCCUGGACCCUCUCCACAGUUCAGCCCGCCGGAGGCGUGUGCGCUUCCAGAUGAGAGCACUUGUUCACUGAAUGACCAUCUCAUCCCAUCAGUUGAAGACCUUAAGAGAAAAGAGACUGACCUGCUCUGAGCAAGGAGGAAUUCUGCUGGCCAACUGCUUGUGAACUCCAACUUGUAAUAUCGGUCUCCAGCCUACCGGCUUACUCUGCAGAUUUUGGAUUUGCCAAGCCUCCACAACCGCAGAAGCCAAUUCCUUAAAAUGAAUCCCUUACAACAGUUCCC
Molecule: long non-coding RNA, 679 nt
Filed under: Homo sapiens (human)
Lineage: Eukaryota; Metazoa; Chordata; Mammalia; Primates; Hominidae
Description: LHRI_LNC2098.1
Source: RNAcentral